RNAcentral lists this unclassified non-coding RNA (220 nucleotides) under air metagenome. RNAcentral's name for it is "partial contains small subunit ribosomal RNA, internal transcribed spacer 1, and 5.8S ribosomal RNA". The stretch from base 1 to 46 matches the Rfam family "Eukaryotic small subunit ribosomal RNA", at positions 1786 to 1831 of the family's 1831-position model. The record is from RNAcentral.
AAGUCGUAACAAGGUUUCCGUAGGUGAACCUGCGGAAGGAUCAUUACCGUAGGGGGUAACCCCUCCUCCGAGAUGCCACCCUUGAUUUACAAGCACUUGCUUUUCCCUCGGCGGGCCUGCCCGCCAGCGGAACAACCCAAAAACCCUUUACUGUAAUAGUAGUACGCUCUGAUAGACAAACAAAAAGUCAAAACUUUCAACAACGGAUCUCUUGGUUCUG